CUUAGGAAGUGGGAGAGAGAUUUUCAGAGGGAACCAGCCUUUGACAAAAAAGUAAAUUCACUGCCAAAAGAUGUGUGAUAAACACCAAUUUAUCAACGUGCUGUUUGCACAGAAGCUUAAUGAAGCCAGUUUAAACACCACUUCCUGACUGAUGAUGUGUUACCGAAGCAUCCUUGCAAAAUUGAGACUCACAGCGUACAGUAAUAUAACAACU
This is a long non-coding RNA of Cygnus atratus (black swan), 214 nucleotides long. RefSeq lists it as uncharacterized. NCBI's taxonomy places the organism in Eukaryota, Metazoa, Chordata, Aves, Anseriformes, Anatidae. The record is from RefSeq and is a predicted model, not a curated record. The transcript is spliced from 3 exons.